UCCGGUCGGAGCCCCGGUGGGAUGUGGGGUUGCCGGGAGGGAGCGGCUCCGCCUCCUGGCAUUGAGGUUGUGCUGUAUUGGCCCUGCGGGGCUCACCUGCGGGCCGGGAUGGCAGGCUUCGUGCAUGCGACUGUGUGUAUGUAUGUGUGAAGAUAGCGCUUCAGGAGCUGAGGUAGACAGAAGGCCCAGCCUUUUGGUCCGCUGCUCGCAUGCCUUCUUUACGAUCUAGUCUUAGAAUCAUUAGGACUGGGAAAAGCCACUAAUCUUUUUGUCAGCCAUCCCCACCGUGCCCGCUGACCGUGUCCCUCAGCGCCGCAUCCACGAAUUCAUCGGACACCUCCAGGGACAGCUGCCUCCACCCUCUCUCUGCGCAGCCUGUGUCAGUGCAGCUAAACUCUCAGAAAUUUUUCCGGAUAUCCCACCCGCACCUCCACUGAGGCCCUGCUGCUUUCGCUGUGACCGUGGGAUCCUGCAAAAACCCAGCCCAAAAGCAGAGCGGGGAGAGGAACCUUCCUGCAGUGCCCUGGUGGCGCUGGGUGCAGGCAGCUCUCAGAACUCCCAGCUGCACUGACAGGUGGAAGGCAGCGAUUGCUGCUGCUUAUGGCAGUCACCCAACCGAGCUGCUCCAUGACUAUUUUCCUUAACCUCAGUCUUACUUGACAUUCAGAAUAUGCAGAAAAACCUUAGCGCUUGCAGAUUGGACCUAAGCCUCAAUCCUACCUGCUUUGUUGCCCCAGAAUCCAAAUGCUUUUUCAUCUUAAGGUUUGUUAUUUUACGCUCUUUCUGACCUGUGACAGGUGGGACCUGUGUCCAUUUUGAGACACGACUGUACCUCACCACUGCAGUCCCUUCUGGUUGUCAUCAACACUUGGAUCUUCUUCAGAGCUUAAACUGAAUGUGAUGGUGCUAUGCAAUGUCACAGUUGAAAACCGUGGAAUAUAAAGUCCCUGGCUUGAGCUGAAUAACCAGCCACUGUAAAUUGAUACUGUCUUAUCUGUAUCAGAGGAUUCUGUCUGGAGAUGUUAUGUAAAAGAAAAUGAUGACUUGUUAUAUGAGGCACAUUAUGGGAAGCAUUCAGCCACACUGUGAGGCUUCUUCUCCUUCCAUUCCCAAUGCACAUUUUGGCUAUUACACUGUAUUUACUUGGCAUAUAACCAGUUCACUGGAAUUAGAUCACAUUUACUGUGGUAUUUGGGAAGACUGACAGUUUGUGGAGAGACAAAGCAUGAAGGGUACUGCUGCUGAGCUUCUGGACUGACAGAGAGAGAUGGCGCGGGGAGAUGAGCUGGAGCAAUGAUGGCCACUGCCAAAAUGUGGAGCAAACUACCAGUGGAAGCUGAAGGUAGAAGUAUUCACCCACCACAAAUGAACUGGAGAAGACAGAGAUGAACAGCAGAAAAAAAAUGAGUCCAAGUGGCUGCCAAAUAGGUCAGGUUUCUCUGAACUGUAUCUUCUACACUGCGGUGCCUGAGUGCAGUGGACAAUAAGUGCUCGAAAAGGAAGUAAAACUGAGAAUUACUGGUCCCCAGCCCUUGAUUUAAACUUCUCUAUCUUCAGGAAAAGGCAGUGCACUUUUCAACAUGACCACAAAGAGGAGUUGCCAUCUCUAGCCUUGCUCAGCCUGAACGUGUGCUCCAUGAGAACAUCUGUCUCAUGAAGAUCUGCAAAACUCCAUUCGGAAUGGCUGAUGGAUGGCAUUUUUUCAACCAAAGUGUUUUUCAGAUGUGGUACAGUCCACAGGAAGCCUUUUGAAAUAGAAGAGGACUGUGGCAGCCAGCACAGCAUUAUGGUGUUAUGACUAAGGAACUGUUUUGAAGAAUGAGAGAUAUUUCUUCUGAUAGAGCAAUAGAUGAUACUUACCCUUCUCUUCUGUGGGAAAUCUGGUGGUUCCAGAUGGGACGAGGUGUCAGAAGAUGAAAUCCUGCUAAACUUUGAAGAAAGGAGGCUGAAGCAUUAGGACAUGCCAGCGACUACAGAAGAGAGAAAACAGUAAGUGAUUCUUGACUUCUUGCAGGGCUCAGGUGUGAACUUGAAGAUAGGGCAAGGAGGAAAGGAAGGGAGACGUAGCUGCAAUCCUCUUGCCCAUGGCCUGGGCAGGUGGGUGCUGCUGCUGCUCCAUUCCUUUGCAGGGUAACCUGAUGAGGCCCUGGGAUUGCUCCCUAAGACAUGAUCGUCCUCCACCUUUGGCUGUCCUUCCCUCAGGGCUGUUCCUGAAGGCUGAAAACCCGUCACACAGAAAAAGCAGGCGGCCUGCUCCCUCUAUAGGCUUUGCUGGUUGUUGCUGCCGUGAACUGGCUGCCUCUGAUCAGAGCUGCAUGCGUGUUUUGAAAGCUGACAAAAACUCUUACUUGAGGUGUAUUUUGCAUUUCUUUCACAUGUUUGCGUGUUUAUGUGUGUAAAUGUAUAUAUAUGCAUGUGGAUUCAUGUUUGUGUAUUUUUCAUGUUGUUUAAUGGCUAUACAUGUAGUCAUAUACAUGUAGCUACUUCCUCUGCAGAAGGAACAUGUAUGAAGCAGUUUUUACUGUUCAGUCUUGUUUCUUUUUGAACCAAUGCAUUAUCCUUUUUGUUUGUGAGCUAUCCGUUUGGUGACCGUGUAACCAUAACGCUCUUUCAAUUGCAUUCUGCCUUUAUUAAGGGAAGAGAUGCUGUCUGAACCAUGGCACACUUCCUCUCCAGCGCCUGCUCUCCUGACUGCACCAGCACCACAGUUCUUGAUGCCAUUCUGAUAACAAAAGCAAUCUGGAUUCAGAGCAUCCUCUUCGUUGUGUGGAUCAGCCCAGGGAGCCGCCGUGCAGCCCCCUCCCAGCAGAGCUGCAUGGAGGGAGGCAGGGUGGGAGGCAGGUGUCCUCAGGCAGCUAUUGCAGCUGGGUGCCCCUUGCUGCAGGCGCAGCUCCCUGCCUGCUGCUGGCGUGGGUAGCAGAGGGGAUUCCCCUGCGGUGUCUGAAACAGCGCUGCAGGGAAAGAUCCAACACAUCCGUGGGUUAUAUAUUAACAGUCAGUGAUGACCUUCUGCAGGCUGGGGGAGUAACUGUCUCACUGAAGCACUGGUAAAGAAGUGGCAGUUUUUCUGCUAUGCAGAGCACAGGUAUUAGCACCUAGCAGAAGGCUGUCAGGCAAUUUCCAUGCAGUGAUACUGUUAUCAAUUACUCCUUACUUUUAAAAAUGUGAAUAAAUUGUUCUGAAGUCUUUGGUACUAAAUUAAUGGCUGUAUGUUGUGGGGAACAGAAGGGAGACAACAGGAGAAGUUUUAACUAAAACACUGAGGGCACUUCCAAGGAAGCAUUUGGAGAAUAGCACACGAGUUUUGCUUACAGAGAAAAACCUUAGCAGUCAUUCCAUGCUGUGCUCAUUUUCCCUUCACCAGGUCUGACCUUGUUCUGUGUUGAAUGCAGUCUGCUGCAGUGGGGGUUAUGGACUUUUGUCACUUAUAGCACAGACAAUUUGCUUUAACUUAAGCUUAAAAGUAAAGCCAUGCCAGGAUGGCAAAUCACACCAGCAGUUGAAUGAGUGACAGUUUAUUUGUCUUUGGAGCUUCUGAUGAACGCAGAAGUAGUAGUGAAAGAAAAAAUAAAGGUAAGUUACAUAAAUAUCUAAUGUAUGAAAUCUAUAAUGGUCUUUUUAUGUGGAAUAAAUUACUUUCCAGUGGUUACAUGCAUAGGUAUACUGAGGAUGAUUUCAUCUGGUGUCCAUUGUGCACUGUGCAUAAAUUCAGAAGAUGUUUUGACUAAAGAUGAUACUUUCACAGAAGAGCUUCCUUUUGGUCAAUAUAUUUCACUGUUUAAUUAAAAAAAAUCCUGGCCAUGUUUCAAUUCAAUUAUUUGGUCUCUGGUGUCAUUUUUUGACCUUCAAAUACACAUACACAAAUCUUCGUUU
This is a long non-coding RNA of Lagopus muta (rock ptarmigan), 3873 nucleotides long. RefSeq lists it as uncharacterized. The transcript is spliced from 8 exons. Lineage: Eukaryota; Metazoa; Chordata; Aves; Galliformes; Phasianidae. The record is from RefSeq and is a predicted model, not a curated record.